This 464-nucleotide ribosomal RNA is filed under the name Peptostreptococcus stomatis. Its description in RNAcentral is "bacterial SSU rRNA". It matches the Rfam family "Bacterial small subunit ribosomal RNA", at positions 28 to 458 of the family's 1533-position model. The record is from RNAcentral. Lineage: Bacteria; Bacillati; Bacillota; Clostridia; Peptostreptococcales; Peptostreptococcaceae.
GAUGAACGCUGGCGGCGUGCCUAACACAUGCAAGUCGAGCGAGGGUUUGCUCAGUAUUGAGUAUUCUAACAACUAGAAUGUUCAAUUCUGAGCAAAACCAAGCGGCGGACGGGUGAGUAACGCGUGGGUAACCUGCCCUAUACACAUGGAUAACAUACUGAAAAGUUUACUAAUACAUGAUAAUAUAUAUUUGCGGCAUCGCAGAUAUAUCAAAGUGUUAGCGGUAUAGGAUGGACCCGCGUCUGAUUAGCUAGUUGGUGAGAUAACUGCCCACCAAGGCGACGAUCAGUAGCCGACCUGAGAGGGUGAUCGGCCACAUUGGAACUGAGACACGGUCCAAACUCCUACGGGAGGCAGCAGUGGGGAAUAUUGCACAAUGGGCGAAAGCCUGAUGCAGCAACGCCGCGUGAACGAUGAAGGUCUUCGGAUCGUAAAGUUCUGUUGCAGGGGAAGAUAGUGACGGU